GCCCGUGGCGUAGCAUGAGCAAUCGAGAGCGCAUCCUUGGUAAGGCUGAGGUCGUGAGUUCAAUCCUCACCGGCAGCACCA
This 81-nucleotide transfer RNA is filed under the name Sphingomonas sp. FARSPH. RNAcentral describes it as "tRNA-Thr". Lineage: Bacteria; Pseudomonadati; Pseudomonadota; Alphaproteobacteria; Sphingomonadales; Sphingomonadaceae. The record is from RNAcentral.